UGAGAUAAGAGGCUGCAGUCCAAGU
Molecule: non-coding RNA, 25 nt
Filed under: Rattus norvegicus (Norway rat)
Lineage: Eukaryota; Metazoa; Chordata; Mammalia; Rodentia; Muridae
Source: RNAcentral